AGCGAACGCUGGCGGCAGGCUUAACACAUGCAAGUCGAGCGGGCGUAGCAAUACGUCAGCGGCAGACGGGUGAGUAGCGCGUGGGAACAUACCUUUUGGUUCGGAACAACACAGGGAAACUUGUGCUAAUACCGGAUAAGCCCUUACGGGGAAAGAUUUAUCGCCGAAAGAUUGGCCCGCGUCUGAUUAGCUAGUUGGUGAGGUAACGGCUCACCAAGGCGACGAUCAGUAGCUGGUCUGAGAGGAUGAUCAGCCACAUUGGGACUGAGACACGGCCCAAACUCCUACGGGAGGCAGCAGUGGGGAAUAUUGGACAAUGGGCGCAAGCCUGAUCCAGCCAUGCCGCGUGAGUGAUGAAGGCCCUAGGGUUGUAAAGCUCUUUUGUGCGGGAAGAUAAUGACGGUACCGCAAGAAUAACGCCCCGGCUAACUUCGUGCCAGCAGCCGCGGUAAC
This 453-nucleotide ribosomal RNA is filed under the name uncultured bacterium. RNAcentral describes it as "bacterial SSU rRNA". It matches the Rfam family "Bacterial small subunit ribosomal RNA", at positions 29 to 524 of the family's 1533-position model. The record is from RNAcentral.